RNAcentral lists this small RNA (484 nucleotides) under Histoplasma capsulatum. Its description in RNAcentral is "hypothetical RNA". The record is from RNAcentral. Lineage: Eukaryota; Fungi; Ascomycota; Eurotiomycetes; Onygenales; Ajellomycetaceae. RNAcentral also lists the same sequence under 1 other name.
AACAGGCUUGGCGGUGGAAAACACCAAAAAAAUCAAAAUUUGUGAAUAAGGAGAUAAGCUAAGCCAUGUCCUGCAACCGAGAGUCCAGAAAGGAGCACUGACCAGUUAGUUUCCAGGUACGCAUGCUCCUUCGAUUUAUGGUUUAGUCCAUAAUUUAAGCAGCGAAAGCUUAAAUCUACGGCUUUUAGGGCCUACUGGUGAUUCUUUUUUUGCAGGGUUUAACUUAGGCUCCGUGACAGCAGACGCAUGUACAUACAUUGUUGCUAUGGAAUUUACUACCAAAUAACUUAACUAUUUUGUUUAUGAUGGUAAGACUAAGGAAAAUCUCAGAAAUAUCUGGCGAACUGUGUAUUGGCUACCCGAGAGCCCAAGCAUGGUACUCACUCGGGAAAAGAAGCGAAAAAAGUAACCACAUGUGCAUAAUGAUGAUUACAAGACCCUCCCAGAUCUCCUCGUGUGAGGAAGUGAAGCAGAACAUACUAGG